AAAAGAAACCUCUCACAACGGAUCGUUAGGCACGUACCUGCCUAUGAAAGGAAAGUUAU
This is a regulatory RNA element of Scardovia wiggsiae F0424, 59 nucleotides long. It matches the Rfam family "msiK RNA". NCBI's taxonomy places the organism in Bacteria, Bacillati, Actinomycetota, Actinomycetes, Bifidobacteriales, Bifidobacteriaceae. The record is from Rfam.